This 1677-nucleotide ribosomal RNA is filed under the name Triticum aestivum (bread wheat). RNAcentral describes it as "partial small subunit ribosomal RNA". The record is from RNAcentral. Lineage: Eukaryota; Viridiplantae; Streptophyta; Magnoliopsida; Poales; Poaceae.
AUGGCGAUCGAUCAGUCCCUCAAGAAGAAGAGAGGGAGACCAGCAGGAGGAGGUUCCCCGUCUGUCAACAAUAGCGAGCGAGAUAAGAUGGUCAUGGAGAAGAAGAUGGCACUGGUGCACCGAAGGCUGGCCUUGCUCGACAGCGAGAGCGACAAGGAAACUGAUGUUGUGCCAACGGCCACAAUGAUUGUGCGGCCACGGAGGGCGGACAGUGAGCAAAAAAGGCUGUUUGAUGUUUCUCAAACACACAAUGCCCAGGAUACUGACACUGCUAAAAAGAAGAGAGGGAGGCUUGUCAACGCCAAGAGUGACAUGGAGCAGAAGUUGAAUAUGUCAACGCCGGGGCUUGCCUUGGUUGAGAGCGGCGGCAGUAACAGCAGCAAGAGUGACGUAGAUGAUGAUCUUGUGCCGAUGGUAGCUGCUGUUAAUUGCCAAAAGACAUGUACAAGUGUUCAGGGUAACUUUGGGUCUGCUAUGGAGAGAGCUGAGGAGUUACUUGUGGAGUUACCAGCCGAACAUCCUAGCUUUGUCAAGCAUAUGCUACAUUCACAUGUUGUUCAUGGUUUUUGGCUGGGUCUACCGUCUGACUUCUGCAACAAGCAUCUCCCAAAGAAGGACACUGCUGUUGUGCUAGAAGAUGAGGAUGGGCACAACUAUGAUGCAAAAUAUCUAGGUGCCAAGCAAGGACUUAGUGCUGGUUGGAGAGGUUUUGCGAUUAAUCAUGAUAUCAAGGUUGGAGAUGUUGUAGUCUUUCAACUUGUUAGUUCAGCAAAGUUUCAGGUCUACAUAUUAAGAGCGAACAACUUCACUACAACUGAUGGAGCACUUGGUCUCCUGUGUCUGGAAGCUGGCAAGGAGAAGAUACCGAAAGAAGAAAGUUCCAAUGAUGUCAAAUCUGAAGCUGGCAAGGAGAAGAUACCGAAAGAAGAAAGUUCCAAUGAUGUCAAAUCUGAAGCUGGCAAGGAGAAGAUACCGAAAAGUUCCAUUGAUGUCAAAUCUGAAGCUGGCAAGGAGAAGAUACCGAAAGAAGAAAGUUCCAUUGAUGUCAAAUCUGAGGAGAAACCAAAGGUUGCUCAGAGCGAUAGCAGCAACCUAGCCAGUGAGUCAAUAACAGAUGGCAUCAAAUUUUCAGACACAGCCAUCGAUUUCGACGACGUGAAAGAUUUCAGCAGCUUCAGCAUCAUCGUAGACGGCCUGGCCAUCGACUGCGAGUUUCCUGACCAACAACGCGAGACGUACUACGAGCUGUGCUGUGCCCAGAAGUCGUUCCUUCACAAGGACCUGCUCAAAGGGCUAAACAUCACACUCGUGGUGGGGGCGAUCAUGGAGACUAUCGACAUCGCAGAGGGCAUCAGGGCCUGCAAGGCGCGCGUUCCUUCCCGCAAGGACUUUGUGGUCUGGAAGAAGAACUUGCAGGCCUUGAAGCUCCUGGGCAUGAAUGUGGACUUCCUGCUCAAACGCGUCGAUGGUCUCCUCAGCCUCCCUGCUCGACCCAGAGCCCCUGCUGAGGUAAAACUGGAGCGGGCACGCACCGUUGCGAAAAUCAAGGAGGUCGAGUCCAGGAUUUCGAGUGUGAAGGACACUCUGGAGGAGAUUGACGUGGAGAUGGAGGAGAUGGAGUCCAGCGCGAAGAUAGUGGAUGAGAUGAUGCAGCUGUUAGCGACCGCGCCAUGGUAG